This 468-nucleotide ribosomal RNA is filed under the name uncultured bacterium. RNAcentral describes it as "bacterial SSU rRNA". It matches the Rfam family "Bacterial small subunit ribosomal RNA", at positions 984 to 1451 of the family's 1533-position model. The record is from RNAcentral.
ACAUCCUCUGACACUCCUAGAGAUAGGACGUUCCCCUUCGGGGGACAGAGUGACAGGUGGUGCAUGGUUGUCGUCAGCUCGUGUCGUGAGAUGUUGGGUUAAGUCCCGCAACGAGCGCAACCCUUGAUCUUAGUUGCCAGCAUUCAGUUGGGCACUCUAAGGUGACUGCCGGUGACAAACCGGAGGAAGGUGGGGAUGACGUCAAAUCAUCAUGCCCCUUAUGACCUGGGCUACACACGUGCUACAAUGGAUGGUACAAAGGGCAGCAAAGCCGCGAGGUGGAGCCAAUCCCAUAAAACCAUUCUCAGUUCGGAUUGCAGGCUGCAACUCGCCUGCAUGAAGCCGGAAUCGCUAGUAAUCGCGGAUCAGCAUGCCGCGGUGAAUACGUUCCCGGGCCUUGUACACACCGCCCGUCACACCACGAGAGUUUGUAACACCCGAAGUCGGUGGGGUAACCGUAAGGAGCCA